CCGGCCCCGAGCGCCGGAGCCACGGCCGGGACACUCUGGAGGGUCCCGGGGGUCCCCACCGGGCACAGCCAGGCUCUGAAGGACCCCAAACAUUCACCUGGAAGGAGCCGAUGCGAUGGAGGGGGAUCAGCCCCACCUGAGCUCAGACAUGACCACCCCGUACCUGAGGAAGGCUCCCACCCCCCGUGGCCAUGAGGACGCCGACACCGCCGUCAUCGCAGGUGAGGCCGCGGCUGCUGCUCCGGCCCGGGGCCGCUGCGGUCGCUCCGGGCUGAGCCCUGGUGCCCUGUGCUUGUCCCGCAGUGGUGAUCACCCUGGUGUUCCUCACCUUGCUGACGGUGCUGGUGGUGAUCGGGAUUUACCUGUACCGGAACCAGGGCUCCUACCGCACCUACGAGCAGCCGGAGCCGGACGCGGCCCCGAGGGAGGAGGCUCCGGCCAAGGAGAAGGAGGAAUAUUUUAUCUAAGGACGCACCCGGGAUCCGCAUAGGUCCCGAAAUUCCCUGGAGCUGGGGGUCUACAUAAAUUUUUUCAGGAGUUAGGAUGCUGCCGGAAUUCCCUGGCAUCGGGGAUCUGCCCAAAUUUUCGGGAGUUGGGGAUCCACCUAAAUAUCCCGGAGUUGAGGAAUUUCUUGGAGGUGGGAGAUCUUAAGUUGGGAAUCUGCCUGAAUUCCCUGGAGUUGGGGCUCUACCCGAAUUUCCUGGCACUGGGGUUCUGCCUAAAUUCCCUGGAUUUGAGGAUCCACCUGAAUUUGAAACCUGCCUAAAUUCCCCGACAUUGAGGUUCUGCCUAAAGAUCCUGGAGCUGGGAUCUGCCUGAGUCUCCUGGAGUUUGUGAUCUACCUAAAUUCUCUGGACCUGGGGUUCUGCCUAAAGUUGAGGAUCUACUGGCUGAUUUUGCUUGGUUUGUUGUUUUUUUUUUUUCCUUAAUUUAUGAAGCCAACCAUGGAAGGAAUAUGUGGGUGCCUGAGGGCAGGAAAAACCCCAAAUACCCCCCAAAAAUAAUAACCCCGAAAGAGGAAGUUCCCAACCCAGCAGGAAAAAGGAAAGAAGUGAGGAAACCCCCAGCUAGCAGCAGCCAAAGAGGUUCUCAGAGGCCAAACAGAAAUUUGUUACUUCAUUUAAAUUUUCAAAAUAAUCUUUAUUUUAUUUUUGGUUUUUAGUAUAAAAACUCCACAAGUUCAGUGCAGCACAGAGAGUCCGAGAGCCGAGCUGGGGAACAGUCAGGGAUGGUCACACACACAGGACAUGGAUUCAGAUUAAAAUGAAAUAUUACAAUAAAAUAGAGUUGAAUCUGAGCUCUUUCUUCA
This 1309-nucleotide long non-coding RNA is filed under the name Cyanistes caeruleus (blue tit). RNAcentral's name for it is "lncRNA (ENSCCEG00000002639.1)". The record is from RNAcentral. Lineage: Eukaryota; Metazoa; Chordata; Aves; Passeriformes; Paridae.